GAUGGCUGGAGGUUGAAGGAGAAGCUGACGUGUGGGACCCACAUGUCAGCGAACGGAGGAAGAAAGAAGCAGCAAAGGUGUUCUGGUCCAUAUAGAAGAUGCGUACGCGUACAGUGGCGUGACAGUGGGCCUAGGAAUAAAAAAACAUAGAAAAUGGCAAGGAAUAGGUAGACAAAGAAUUAUAAUAGCAAGUUUCAGAAUAGGUAAAUUAUAAUAGUAGAUCUCAAAACUUCAAAAAAUAUAAUGGCAUGGCUGCAAUUAACCCUAAAAAAGCUAUAGAAAUUAUAGGU
RNAcentral lists this long non-coding RNA (290 nucleotides) under Panicum hallii. Its description in RNAcentral is "long non-coding RNA (PHAL_LNC000698)". Lineage: Eukaryota; Viridiplantae; Streptophyta; Magnoliopsida; Poales; Poaceae. The record is from RNAcentral.